GGAGGGCAAGUCUGGUGCCAGCAGCCGCGGUAAUUCCAGCUCCAAUAGCGUAUAUUAAAGUUGUUGCGGUUAAAAAGCUCGUAGUUGGUUCUGCGUGCCGCGCUGUCGGUUCGCCGCCUGUCGGUGUAACUGGCAUGUCGCGGCAUGUCCUGUCGGUGGUGAACGGAGUCCACAAUGCUACAUAGGCUUUAUAGCCGAUGUUAGCGUUGUGUGCACUUCCGUUGGCCGAUCUCUCCUACUUCGGUGCUCUUAAACGAGUGUCGAGGUAGGCCGACACGUUCACUUUGAACAAAUUAGAGUGCUUAAAGCAGGCUGAAAUAUCUGCCUGAAUAGUGGUGCAUGGAAUGAUAAAACAGGACCUCGGUUCUAUUUUGUUGGUUUUAGGAAUAUGAGGUAAUGAUCAAUGUGGACUGGCGGGGGCAUUCGUAUUGCGACGUUAGAGGUGAAAUUCUUGGAUCGUCGCAAGACGCACUAGAGCGAAAGCAUUUGCCAAGUAUGUCUUAAUUGAUCAAGAACGAAAGUUAGAGGUUCGAAGGCGAUCAGAUACCGCCCUAGUUCUAACCAUAAACGAUGCCAGCCAGCGAUCCGCCGAUGUUCCUUUAAUGACUCGGCGGGGAGCUUCCACCCGGGAAACCAAAGCUUUUGGGUUCCGGGGGAAGUAUGGUUGCAAACG
RNAcentral lists this ribosomal RNA (673 nucleotides) under Paratriatoma lecticularia. RNAcentral describes it as "SSU rRNA". It matches the Rfam family "Eukaryotic small subunit ribosomal RNA", at positions 550 to 1137 of the family's 1831-position model. The record is from RNAcentral. Lineage: Eukaryota; Metazoa; Arthropoda; Insecta; Hemiptera; Reduviidae.